ACGGGAGGCAGCAGUGGGGAAUAUUGCACAAUGGAGGAAACUCUGAUGCAGCGAUGCCGCGUGGAGGAAGAAGGUUUUCGGAUUGUAAACUCCUGUCUUAAGGGACGAUAAUGACGGUACCUUAGGAGGAAGCUCCGGCUAACUACGUGCCAGCAGCCGCGGUAAUACGUAGGGAGCGAGCGUUGUCCGGAAUUACUGGGUGUAAAGGAAGCGUAGGCGGGACAUCAAGUCAGAUGUGAAAACUAUGGGCUUAACCCAUAGACUGCAUUUGAAACUGUAGUUCUUGAGUGAAGUAGAGGUAAGCGGAAUUCCCGGUGUAGCGGUGAAAUGCGUAGAUAUCGGGAGGAACAUCAGUGGCGAAGGCGGCUUACUGGGCUUUAACUGACGCUGAGGCUCGAAAGCGUGGGGGGCAAACAGGAUUAGAUACCCUGGUA
This 434-nucleotide ribosomal RNA is filed under the name uncultured Ruminococcus sp. Its description in RNAcentral is "partial 16S ribosomal RNA". It matches the Rfam family "Bacterial small subunit ribosomal RNA", at positions 341 to 792 of the family's 1533-position model. Lineage: Bacteria; Bacillati; Bacillota; Clostridia; Eubacteriales; Oscillospiraceae. The record is from RNAcentral.